AGCGAACGCUGGCGGCAGGCCUAACACAUGCAAGUCGAACGACCUCUUCGGAGUUAGUGGCGGACGGGUGAGUCACACGUGGGAACGUGCCUUUUGGUUCGGAAUAACUCAGGGAAACUUGUGCUAAUACCGAAUGUGCCCUUCGGGGGAAAGAUUUAUCGCCCUUAGAGCGGCCCGCGUCUGAUUAGCUAGUUGGUGAGGUAACGGCUGACCACGGCGACGAUCAGUAGCUGGUCUGAGAGGAUGACCAGCCUCACUGGGACUGAGACACGGCCCAGACUCCUACGGGAGGCAGCAGUGGGGAAUCUUGCGCAAUGGGCGAAAGCCUGACGCAGCCAGGCCGCGUGAAUGAUGAAGGUCUUAGGAUUGUAAAAUUCUUUCACCGGGGACGAUAAUGACGGUACCCGGAGAAGAAGCCCCGGCUAACUUCGUG
This 433-nucleotide ribosomal RNA is filed under the name uncultured bacterium. Its description in RNAcentral is "partial 16S ribosomal RNA". It matches the Rfam family "Bacterial small subunit ribosomal RNA", at positions 29 to 507 of the family's 1533-position model. The record is from RNAcentral.